This 173-nucleotide small RNA is filed under the name Crocodylus porosus (Australian saltwater crocodile). RNAcentral describes it as "TUC338 (ENSCPRG00005014078.1)". The record is from RNAcentral. Lineage: Eukaryota; Metazoa; Chordata; Crocodylia; Crocodylidae.
UUGACAGUCCUGGAAAUUGAAUUGCUUUAUUUAUUGACAGAAUAGAUACAGCACGGACACUGUAAGUUUCUUUUCAUCAUUGAGCCAGCAUUCUUCAGCUGUGAGUAGAAAAGAACACCUCUUCUGGUGAGAAAAUACUUUAUUCUGCGUGCUCAUUUCCUUUUUUUGGACUU